AUGGUUGUGGCUCAGUGGUAGAGCACUUGCCUAGCAAGUGUGAAGCACUUGGGUGUUCAAUCCACUGUACCAUG
RNAcentral lists this transfer RNA (74 nucleotides) under Marmota monax (woodchuck). RNAcentral's name for it is "tRNA.Ala". Lineage: Eukaryota; Metazoa; Chordata; Mammalia; Rodentia; Sciuridae. The record is from RNAcentral.